GAACGGUAGUUCAGUUGGUUAGAAUACCUGCCUGUCGCAGGGGUCGCGGGUUCGAGUCCCGUCCGUUCCG
Molecule: transfer RNA, 70 nt
Filed under: Providencia rettgeri
Lineage: Bacteria; Pseudomonadati; Pseudomonadota; Gammaproteobacteria; Enterobacterales; Morganellaceae
Description: tRNA-Thr
Rfam family: tRNA
About the family: Transfer RNA (tRNA) molecules are approximately 80 nucleotides in length. Their secondary structure includes four short double-helical elements and three loops (D, anti-codon, and T loops).
Source: RNAcentral